Cajanus cajan (pigeon pea) is the source of this 95-nucleotide small nucleolar RNA. It matches the Rfam family "Small nucleolar RNA Z266". Rfam says of the family: Z266 is a member of the C/D class of snoRNA which contain the C (UGAUGA) and D (CUGA) box motifs. Most of the members of the box C/D family function in directing site-specific 2'-O-methylation of substrate RNAs. Lineage: Eukaryota; Viridiplantae; Streptophyta; Magnoliopsida; Fabales; Fabaceae. The record is from Rfam.
GAAGACAUGGUUGAUAAAUCAAUUAGAUGUGUGAAAGUAGAAGUGCUUUCUGAUCUCAAAUUUUGUGGUAUAUUGUUAUAUCGGACUUUGUCUUC